This is a long non-coding RNA of Zea mays, 965 nucleotides long. RefSeq annotates it as MIR166hHG. Lineage: Eukaryota; Viridiplantae; Streptophyta; Magnoliopsida; Poales; Poaceae. The transcript has a single exon. The record is from RefSeq and is marked validated.
AAAGGCGCCAACGGAGACCUGCGCCGUGGCAUCCUCUCCUCUGUAGCUUGAUCCUUAAGCUUGGAAUCCUGAGUAGCAUGUGGACGUGGUGACGACUGACGACGACGGGAUUGCCUGGUUCGAUCGGCUUCCCUCGUGCUCGUGCCUCUGCCUCUGCCUGGCCGCGGUCCGUUUGCUUCGCCGCGCGCGCGGGACCACAGCAACCAGUCCACCGCUGUCCCGAAAGGAAAGCGACGCGAAUAGCAUCUGAUCGAUCGGGGGGUGCACCGCCCAAGAUCUCUGCUGUCGCGUCCGGCUCUCGGCGUCCGCUUCUUCCUCUUUCUCCUUUCCCCGUCGCUGGGUAUAUCUAUCAGUUGCGCUCGGUGCUUGUGCUUACACGGGGCUCCUUCCUCUUCCAUCCGGAUCCGUCGAUCGAGUCGGUAGCUUCAUGUCUGUCGAGGGGAAUGACGUCCGGUCCGAACGAGCCACGGCUGCUGCUGCGCCGCCGCGGGCUUCGGACCAGGCUUCAUUCCCCGUGACUCAUGGAGACGGCAGUGAUCCGCCGAGCUUCCCGUGUUGCAGGGCAGGCGUGAGGCGUCCAUGUUCUCAUCAGCAAGGCCGGCAGGUACGCGUUUUAUUUGGAUGAGCGGAGUGUGGCAAGCAUGGACACUGACUGGUCUACUUCCUGCACGCACUCCUUGCAAGGAAGGUUCGCUUCGCACUUCAGAGCAGGGUUCUAAUCUGAACCCGUGCAAGAUACCAUGCACACGAACAUCGCAGUGGCAUCACGAGGAACCAAGACACUCAGAAACAAAUGUUCUCUCUAAUAUUCCAUGAUCCAGUGUUCAUCUGUAGUCUGCAAUGAACACUAACGCCGCUGCUGAAGCGCUACUCUGCUACGUGCUACCUAAGAUAAGAUGGGAUAAUCAUGCUAAGCCAGCCAUAUAUCCUUGCUAGCUACACUUCAUUUCGAGGAGCAGAUGCUA